CAGUCGAACGAAGACAUACCGACGGAAUCCUUCGGGAGGAAGAUGGUAUGGCCUUAGUGGCGGACGGGUGAGUAACGCGUGGGUAACCUGCCCUGUACAGGGGGACAACAGUUAGAAAUGACUGCUAAUACCGCAUAAGCGCACAGUACCGCAUGGUACAGUGCGAAAAACUCCGGUGGUACAGGAUGGGCCCGCGUCUGAUUAGUUAGUUGGCGGGGUAACGGCCCACCAAGACGACGAUCAGUAGCCGGCUUGAGAGAGUGAACGGCCACAUUGGGACUGAGACACGGCCCAAACUCCUACGGGAGGCAGCAGUGGGGAAUAUUGCACAAUGGGGGAAACCCUGAUGCAGCAACGCCGCGUGAGUGAAGAAGUAUUUCGGUAUGUAAAGCUCUAUCAGCAGGGAAGAAAAUGACGGUACCUGACUAAGAAGCCCCGGCUAACUACGUGCCAGCAGCCGCGGUAAUACGUAGGGGGCAAGCGUUAUCCGGAUUUACUGGGUGUAAAGGGAGCGCAGGCGGUGCGGCAAGUCAGAUGUGAAAACCCGGGGCUCAACCCCGGGACUGCAUUUGAAACUGUCGGACUAGAGUGCCGGAGAGGUAAGUGGAAUUCCUAGUGUAGCGGUGAAAUGCGUAGAUAUUAGGAGGAACACCAGUG
This 657-nucleotide ribosomal RNA is filed under the name uncultured bacterium. RNAcentral's name for it is "bacterial SSU rRNA". It matches the Rfam family "Bacterial small subunit ribosomal RNA", at positions 59 to 714 of the family's 1533-position model. The record is from RNAcentral.